Molecule: ribosomal RNA, 579 nt
Filed under: Phialophorophoma sp. CHTAR64
Lineage: Eukaryota; Fungi; Ascomycota; Dothideomycetes; Pleosporales
Description: eukaryotic LSU rRNA
Rfam family: Eukaryotic large subunit ribosomal RNA
Source: RNAcentral
AGCAAAAGAAACCAACAGGGAUUGCCCUAGUAACGGCGAGUGAAGCGGCAUCAGCUCAAAUUUGAAAUCUGGCUCUUUCAGGGUCCGAGUUGUAAUUUGCAGAGGGCGCUUUGGCGUUGGCAGCGGUCCAAGUUCCUUGGAACAGGACGUCACAGAGGGUGAGAAUCCCGUACGUGGUCGCUGGCCUUCGCCGUGUAAAGCCCCUUCGACGAGUCGAGUUGUUUGGGAAUGCAGCUCUAAAUGGGAGGUAAAUUUCUUCUAAAGCUAAAUACUGGCCAGAGACCGAUAGCGCACAAGUAGAGUGAUCGAAAGAUGAAAAGCACUUUGGAAAGAGAGUCAAAUAGCACGUGAAAUUGUUGAAAGGGAAGCGCUUGCAGCCAGACUUGCCUGUAGUUGCUCAUCCGGGCUUUUGCCCGGUGCACUCUUCUGCGGGCAGGCCAGCAUCAGUCUGGGCGGUUGGAUAAAGGCCUCUGUCAUGUACCUUCUCUCGGGAAGGCCUUAUAGGGGAGGCGUAAUGCAACCAGCCUGGACUGAGGUCCGCGCAUCUGCUAGGAUGCUGGCGUAAUGGCUGUAAGCGGC